This 253-nucleotide ribosomal RNA is filed under the name uncultured bacterium. RNAcentral's name for it is "partial 16S ribosomal RNA". It matches the Rfam family "Bacterial small subunit ribosomal RNA", at positions 524 to 776 of the family's 1533-position model. The record is from RNAcentral.
UACGUAGGGGGCAAGCGUUAUCCGGAUUUACUGGGUGUAAAGGGAGCGUAGGCGGCCAUGCAAGCUCGGUGUGAAAGGUGCGGGCACAACCCGCAGACUGCACUGAGAACUGUAUGGCUGGAGUGCCGGAGGGGCAGGCGGAAUUCCUGGUGUAGCGGUGAAAUGCGUAGAUAUCAGGAGGAACACCGGUGGCGAAGGCGGCCUGCUGGACGGCGACUGACGUUGAGGCUCGAAAGCGUGGGGAGCGAACAGG